This is an RNA transcript of Ailuropoda melanoleuca (giant panda), 4549 nucleotides long. RefSeq lists it as uncharacterized. The transcript has 3 exons. NCBI's taxonomy places the organism in Eukaryota, Metazoa, Chordata, Mammalia, Carnivora, Ursidae. The record is from RefSeq and is a predicted model, not a curated record.
AUUUGUCCUGAGGGGCAGUGGGCAAAACUAUGAAGGCAGAAGCCCGGCUGGGACCCCAGCUCACUGCCUGGACGGCCGUGGAUGGAUUCAUUUCCUUUCUGUCUUCCAUGCGCCUUGGCUGGCAGGAAGGACCUGGCUGGCCCCUCUCCACGCCCCUUCACCUCCAUAAGCCUACGCGUAGUCUGUUCCUGCCAGCCUGUUUGAGGCUGAGAACUUGGUUCACUUCUGCCCCGUGACCCUCCCCAGCCAUGGAUUCGUGCUUCUUCAGUAUGAUCGAAUCUUCUUCCGCAUAAACAUUUCAGGAUCUGGGGAGUGUCUCAACCAAGGGGUUCACCCGUCGGCCCCAGCCCCAUCCUUUAACCAACUUUUGGGUCUGAAUUCCCCGCUUGAAAGCAAACAUUCAUCCAGCAGCACCCGCGAUGGGCCCACUAGGUCUCUGAAUAGUGGGAGCUGCCAUUGACCAAGUGCCUCCUCCAUGUAGACCCAGCAGGAACUGUAUCCAUAUAUUUGUACCCUUACACUCUCCCUGUCCAGAUUGGAAUUGUUUCUCCAUUUCGCCCAGAGAGGUUAAGUGACUCAUCGAAGCUCUCACAGCCUGCAAGAGGUAGAGCUGGGAUUAGAAUCCAGAACCCUAUGACUCCAAUGCCUUGGGCUCAUGCUGUAUGACCCAUCACGGAGACCCGCAUCCCUGGUUAGGCCACAGCAUCCAGGGACAUCCCGCAUCUGUGCCCCUGCCCCCCGGGGCACCCCGGAAGGCUUCUCCUCCACCAGCCUAAGGGCUCUCUAAUCCUGAAUCAUAAAUGCCCAGGGACCACGGCCCAGAAAGGACAGUCAGACCCACUGAGCAGUCUCUCCAUGGUGUUCGUCGGCAGGGGGGGGGGCUCCCUCCCUGGCUCAGGCAGCCAGGCGUGCACCGCGGCCGUCUCCAAGCAGCAGUAGGAUGAAUACCUGACGGUGAUUAGCUAAAUCAUAACAUCGCUCAUGCCAUGCGUAAGUGAUGAACCGACUGGCGCCAGGCCGCGCUGAGCGGCAGCGGGCCCCCCCCCCCCCACCGCUCACCCCCACCCCAGCCCGGAAAAGCCACCACAGUGCUGCCUCCCUGUGUUAUCUGGCACAUCAAGUCCUGCGACAAUGAAUAUAGAUUGACCUUAUUAUAGCAGCCGGCUGCUGAUGCCAGGCGCAGCCAGGCAUACUUUGCACAAAUUAAAGGUGUCAGCAUGUAAUUUACGGUUCAUGGCGAAAAAGGGUGGGGGGGAGGCACUGGGGCAGGUAGAAGGGAAGGUGGGCCGACUUCGGGGCUUGCACCAGGAGCCCACGCACUAAUGAUAGCAGGUGCCGCCGAUGUGUCAUUUCAUUCCGGUUUGCGCAUUUUUAGCUACUCCCUGCUCAAGGGGAGCAGCCCCCUCUCCUAAGCGCCACCCCCCACCCCUGCAAGCUCUGUGUGCGUGCGUGUGUGUUUUUCAGCUAAAUUACUGGUUUUACCUGAAGAGCGUAAAGUAGGUGUGCUAAUUUACGGCUCGGCAGAUAAAGCCGCAGUGUGGGGCGCUGUCUGGGAAGCCUGCAAUACAACAUCAUUUUACUAACACACCCGAGAGCAGCUUGACAUCUCGAGUUGGGCCUGUGAUUAAAGUGGUAGUCUUCCCCCCGCCUCCCUCUCCCUGCUCCAACACGGGGAACAGAUUAAACUCGAAGCAAUAGAUCUCGGUUUUCUUGCCAUACCACUGAUAUUCACAGUACACAGUUUGACACAAAGAGUAAGUUAUACAUCACAGACAACAGCCUCUGCUCUUUACCGUCCAGAAUUAAUUUUCCAUUUGCUAAGCUUCCUGCUUCUCUGAGCCCAUUUUCCUGCCGCCGAGCGGGGCUCCAUUCUAGAAAAGGCAGGGGAGGAAAACCUCGGGUCAGGACUGGAAAAGGAUGGCUAGCUUCGCCCCUGGGGUUUACAGAUGAGGCCAGCAGGGCCCGAAGCGGGGAGGUGACUUCCUGCCGUCGUCCUGUGUGCUGGUGGCAGAGAUGGGGCUGAAAGCCCGUCUUCCCAUGGCUGUGUCAGGCACGUCCCCCCAAGCCCUGCAGAGUGGAGAAGGUGGGCGGGGUGUGGAGAAGCUGGGAGAUCGCCAGGCUGCUUGAGUAGCUGGUUACUCUCUGCUUGCCUCCUACCCACUCCACAACCUGCAAAACUCUCUCUGCCCUUCUCUGCGCCCCCAGGAGGGGACCUCUAGGGGCUCCUGGUACCUCUGGCUGCUGCCUGGCCUUGGCCAAUGGAAGGUACCAGAAUGAGAAGGGAAGGUGGGAGGAGAAAGAUGGGUCUUUUUGCCCUUUGCUUCUCCCUACCAUGAUGCUGUGGCUCUGGGAAUGGCCACCUCCCUCUGUGACUACACUCUUGGGGGAUGGCCCCACUUCCACAGCUCUAGCUCCUGGUGGGCUCUGGCAAUGCCAUCUGCCCCUGCCUCUCUUGGUGUGGGGUGCUAGCCCCGCCUGGCAUCGCAGAGGCUCGGGACCCCUUUGGAUCCCCUGACCUUAUCCCCCUCUGUCAGCAUUCCCUGCAUUCCUGUCCCUCCCAUUGAACCCAUUGUGGGGCAUUCUGUUUCCUGGGAAUUCCGUUUCCUGCAGGACAGCCGCUGGUGUCAUUUGAAAGGUUCUGGAGAACUCUGAGCAACACCUCUUCUUUGUGGAGGACCCACGCUUGCCUGAGUCCUCUGCCUGCAGGCACACACCAGGCGGCAGGUGUCCAAAUCUCCCUUGGCAACCCAGGAAGUCAGGGGCCCUCCGGAAACCUUCUGGCAUGAACCCAGCUGUCCCUUCAAGGCCUCUGAUCUCCCCCUUCCACCAAGCCCUGUGGGAUCUCUGGGAUGUCAUGGCUGGAGAGAGACAAACGUACAUGGUACUGGACACUGGAUUUCUCCAUCUGGGUUCUCAGAGCUCAAGGAGUCAGGAGUCAUGGUGGGAAGGACCGUGGGAAAUAAAUUCAGGAUCUCCAAGACCACUUGUCAUUGCUGGCCCCAUCCUGACCGACUUAUCUAGAAAAAACACAAGUCACAGGCCAGGGAGAGGCCGGACCUCUGCGUUCCCGAACAUGCCCAUGGAGGCAGGCACAGCCCCCCUGCGGGUUUCUCCUUUGAUUGAUACCUCGAGUGGAUCCAGGGGCACACCUGGGCUGGAGCUGCACCUGUGGAAAGGUAAAGAAGGGACGAAGGGGAGCUGGAGAGACCAGGGCCAGUCAUUUCAGAGUUUUAUGAAGAUCUGAGUAUUAGCACAUCGUUUAAAUCAUCGUCCCCCAGAAGAAUUGCUUAGGUAUGGUUUGUCUAUAGAUGAAGACAUCAGGAUACACGGUGUAAAAUAUUUAUCUGCACCUUUAAAUCUGAACACACAUGAAAUGAGGCAAAAUGUUUACUACCCCAACAGCUGGCACCAGAAUUCCCCAGCGAAUAGGCACUGUCUUUGAGAAGUUUCCUGGACUGGGGACAGACCCUGAAGACCAAGUUGUCAGCUGGACCCCCAAAUAAUAAAAAUGGAAAAAUUUUAACUUUUGUUUCUGGGGGAGGGUAGGAAAAAAAAAUAGAAGACCAAAAAAGAGAAAAAGAAAGAGAGACAGAGUUGCUGAUAAGACGGUGAGAUGCUGGAUAAUUUUUGGGGUGGCAGAGCCCACUGGAAAUGUACGGUGGUGGGGGGGAGUGAGAGGGGUCUUUAAGGAGUCAGCAUGUGGCUCUGCACUACUUUGCCCCUUUUCUAAAUGAAAAGAAAACAAAGAUGAGUGUGGCUUCGGGAUGUUUGUCAUGCCGUGUGCUCAGAACCGUAGAACCAUAUUAGGACAUCUCUCCCGUCUGGUGCUUUGGUGAGCUGGUCCCUGCAGCCUGGGAAGAGGCUGGGCUUCCCAGGGGCAGCAUCUCCAGCAGCAGAAAGCAGAGGGGCAGCGGGAGGGAGGCCUGCAGGCAGGGGCAGGCCCUGCCCCGCCCCGGGGAAGACUAGGGGAGACCCUGCACCCCCCUGAGGCAAGGAUCUGUGGUUUCAGCCACACUGAUCUAGAUUUUAAGGUUGGAUGGGGGGCUCCAGCUGACAGCUGGGACACCACACAUAUUCCACCAAAUGAUGAGGCCAGGUGCCAACUUAUUUCCAGAUUCUGGUGCCGGAGAUAUUGGAAAAGCACUUAAGGAAAACAAAGCAGAGAAUGUGAGGCAGACACUAAUUCACAAAGAGAUUGUAGACACAGUUGCUGUAAUGAGACUAGCAAUUCAAGGAAGGGUGAUUCCUAAGAUUGAUCACAUGUUUGCAUUGUCAGGCCCUUGACCCCCCAGAGUCUAGGAGGGGGGCAGAAGGAGGUGUGACUCAGUCACGCACUGCCCUGGGCUGUCUAAUCCUCCCUCCGGGGGGUAUCAGUGAGCCACGAGGGCCUGCUGGGGCAUUGUGAACAGCCUGUGAAAGCAGGGCUCUGUCGGGUGGUCCCCGCCCAGGUCAGCUCACACAGGGCACCGGGUCCUCACCUCAAAUCAUCAGGUCGAGCUCGCCUUGCAUUUCUUCUCUCACCUCUGCAGGGCCUUGUAACUAGGGACUC